GGCUGUGUGGUCAGUGGUUAAAAAAAGGGCUUGUAACCAGGAGGUCCCGGUUCAAAUCCCACCUCAGCCA
Gymnothorax javanicus (giant moray) is the source of this 70-nucleotide non-coding RNA. Lineage: Eukaryota; Metazoa; Chordata; Actinopteri; Anguilliformes; Muraenidae. The record is from the annotation of a GenBank genome assembly.